This 392-nucleotide ribosomal RNA is filed under the name uncultured bacterium. RNAcentral's name for it is "bacterial SSU rRNA". It matches the Rfam family "Bacterial small subunit ribosomal RNA", at positions 29 to 425 of the family's 1533-position model. The record is from RNAcentral.
AUUGAACGCUGGCGGCAUGCCUUACACAUGCAAGUCGAACGGCAGCACGGGAGCAAUCCUGGUGGCGAGUGGCGAACGGGUGAGUAAUAUAUCGGAACGUGCCCGGUCGUGGGGAUAACGUAGCGAAAGCUACGCUAAUACCGCAUACGAUCUACGGAUGAAAGCGGGGGAUCGCAAGACCUCGCGCGAUUGGAGCGGCCGAUAUCAGAUUAGGUAGUUGGUGAGGUAAAGGCUCACCAAGCCGACGAUCUGUAGCUGGUCUGAGAGGACGACCAGCCACACUGGGACUGAGACACGGCCCAGACUCCUACGGGAGGCAGCAGUGGGGAAUUUUGGACAAUGGGCGCAAGCCCGAUCCAGCAAUGCCGCGUGCAGGAUGAAGGCCUCGGUUG